AUUUUACAACUAAGGUAACCUAGAGGAGCUAGAGCACCUAGAGACCUAGAGCUACCUAGAGUCAGCCACGGUGAGAACGGGUAAGAACGUCCAAGUACGCGUACCAGUAAACUGCAAACAAUCGGCAAGAUUCAGCUGAUUAUACAUAUGAACCCUAGAUGUACACUUCAGACCAAAAGGGUAACUCCCAUAGGGGAGAGGAAAACAUGCAGACCAGCCAUCUAUGUUCAGCAACAUGAACUAGAGAGUCUGGAAAUGACCAUAAUUGGUAAAUAUACACCUAUCGCAAAUAAUCGAAUCGCAUAAGUGUCAGCCAAUCGGAGGAUCUUAAAAUUCGCCUGAAGGCUUUGGGUGGUUGUUGCAGUAAUACUGCGUAGUUUUUAAAACGCCGUUGAGUAUAGAUGGAAGGAAAAAAAAAAUUGUUCUGCUGAAGCAUGCACGUCUUCCAGUGAUGAAAAUGGAUUGAGAUUCUUCAAUUUUCCCAGAGCUUCAGGACGAAUCAGCUGCCCAAUUACAAGAUGGCACUCAUGGCUCUGGAUGAUGCAUCAUCCGGUUGGACCGAAGUGGACGGACCUAAAACUGAACUGGCUCGAUUCAUGGAGAAGGGACCCAUGCUUGAUGAAUACUUCUCGACGAUUAUUGAUACCAAGGGGAACUUGUGUAGCUUGCCUCGGUUGCUUGACCAGUACAGCCCUGCAACAUGUGGCCUGCCUCUUUUCCUGUUAUAUCUCUGGACAGGUGUGGAUUGGGAUGAAGAAAAGGGUUGCUUCGAUAGCUUCUGUCGAGAAAUUGCGCGGUUCUACAGCCAGAAGCUGCACUCAGACCACUGGGACACUGAACAUGAGGGCAGUGUGUCGCAGGUAAUCAUGCCUCAGGAAGCUUCUGUUCUUGUUGUUGCUGUGGCUUUAUAUUGCUGAAAUCAGCCACUAACACUUUCUCUCCCAACGACACUGCUGCUGGCUUACCUCCUAGCUGCAGUUAGCAACACAGUAGCAGUUUUUGGUACUUCUCAACACUGAAAUGAAUGGCCAACGAUCUACACAUGUCCGAGGAAUCACAAGAAGUAGCUAUAUGCUUCAUCUAGCAACAGAGAAAGAAACUAGAGAGUUGGAUGACACUCCAGAUCUUAGAUGGGUGAUUGAGCACAUCAUAUAUCCAGCUCUGCCUCUCAGCUUCUUGCCACCGAAGAGGUUUGCAGAAGAUGCCACUAUUUUACAGAUUGCCAAUUUGCCAGAUCUGUACAAAGUGUUUGAGCGCUGUUGAGGAGUAUACUGGUGUUUGGUUUGUAUGUAAAUUGUAUGUGGAAGAGGCAUAGCUCUGUAAGAAGUAAAUAAAUGAGAAAUAAAUCUUUGGAAAAUAGUUAACACAGUGUAUAAUAAUAUUACUUCCAUGAUUCGCAAACAUGAGAGAUUUAAAAAUUAAGUAUAUUAUUUUUGCUUUCAGUUAGGAUAUCUCAGUAAAUUGAUUGGGUUUGAGUCCUAGCACAGGCAGGAAUGUUCAGUCAUCAUGUCGAGACCAACUACGAGGCCCACCCAGAGUCCAGUGUAACAUGAAUUGGAGGCCCUUUCUCCACAGAGAGACCAACAGGAGUGUGGAAGUGAUCACUUCCCCACAGAGAGACCAACAGGAGUGUGGAAGUGAUCACUUCCCCAUAGAGAGACAAACAGGAAUGUGGAAGUGAUCACUUCCCCACA
This is an RNA transcript of Cryptotermes secundus, 1694 nucleotides long. It is a transcript of the gene named DNA mismatch repair protein Mlh1, with no coding region annotated. The transcript is spliced from 5 exons. The record is from RefSeq and is a predicted model, not a curated record. Lineage: Eukaryota; Metazoa; Arthropoda; Insecta; Blattodea; Kalotermitidae.